UCGAAUGUCACAUAUUUACUACAUAACAGGAGUUCUAUACAAAAUAAAUAAAUAAUUACAUUAUAAGGAGACAACGGUCCAGCAACCCAAAGUUGACUGGGAGACGACGACCUAGACCUCUCAUGAACUCGUCACAGCAUCCUCCAUGCGCCUCAUCUUGUGGUACCUGUUCUUGACCUGUGGGGGGGUGUGAGACAGCAAGAGUGAGCUCACAUACGUUCAUCGCUCAACAAGUUGUGGGGAAUAAUGUGCAUGAACUCGCCAAAGGUGGGAGCUCACGUGAAGUGUAAGGCUUACCAAAGAGGAUGGUUAGAGUUGAGCAUUGCUUUUAAAGUUGGUCAAAAUUUUAUUAGCAGUUACUAAGUAUAAGUAAAUACCAACCCAAUUAAGAAAAGUAAUAACAUCACCUGCGAUGCAAUGCAUAUGACAAAUUGAAUUUAGUUCCAUAAAUUAAUCAUGUGAGGGUCCGAGUUGCUCAUGACCGUGAGCACGGCUAGUAUACCAGUUUUACACUCUGCAGAGGUUGCACAUCUUUACCCACAAGUCAUGUUACCCAUCUGCCAAGGGAUCGCGACUUCCCAUACACCUCUACCGAGGAGGCGAGGCAGGGUAACACUACGAGGCCUUUACAAAGUUCCACUAGCUUCAGAAAACCCGCUACAGUUUAUAGGAAGCUCCAAUGCAGGGUUCUUGCCUGACCGCCAUCGCAGCAAAAUCAACUAAGGACCUCCCUACACUGACCACUCCCCUACUGCCCUUGCCCCUUUCGGGUAAGGUAGUCCUCCACUAGCUUUCCUAAUUAAUCAGCCAAGGGCGUCCAUAAACCCUUGUGGUAGCACUGUUUUCCCGGUGGUCGCUCCAUGUUCCAAUUAACAUAAUGAUCUUAUCAUGGACAGUGAUAAUAAACAGAUAAUAAAAGUGUGAUCAUGAAUAAUGUAUCUUCAUACCCAAAACCAUAUAAAGCACUAGCAAGUACUACCCAAAAAGUUCAGUGGUAAACAAGGUAUAAAGAUAGACAAACUAGGGUAACCUAUUGGGUCCCAUCAAAAUUAACCUAUGCAGAUCAUUAUGAUUAAUCAGAACAUGGCUGGGUAAAAAGAAGUGAUCAAGGGCACAACUUGCCUGGCACUUGAGAUUCUAGUUACCAGGGUGAUUCUUCAAAUCCUCGUGACCGCACUGCUAGUCGUAGCAAUACAAACAGAUAUGGUAUAGAAAAAAUUAACAUCACACCAAUCAUAAGUACAAACUGAAUAAUAAUGAUCUACGCGAUGAUACGAGAUCGUAGAUUCAAGAACCACUAGAUUCGGAGCUACGGUUAUAAAGUUAUGAUUUUCUAAAGGUUUAGGAGUCGGAUACAAAAGAAAUCAAGUGCAUAAUUUUAAUUUAUGUUUCAUAGCAAAAUAAAGUUACCGGUUAUAAACAAUAUUAUUAUGGAUUUAUUGCAACUGGAAUGCAUUAUGUUGGAGUUAAAAUAUAUUAAUUAUGCAUUUACUAAAAAAUUUUUCUAGAUUUAUUUUCACAUUUAAACCAUUUUCUAGGUUUAUCCUAAAAGAAUAUCACAUUCUUGGGCUGCGGGUAAAACUACAGAGAAGUUCAGGACUAAAUUAAUUAAAUCUAGGACCUAAAUGUAUUAAUCUUUACGCCCUACAUGGACAGCGGGUUAGUUUCGCUAUUUUUCAUGGACUCUUGGAAAACCGGCUUGCUGCUAAAAUCACGAGGAUAUUCCAAGCCGUCCGAUUCACAACCAGCGAUCUGGAUUAGAAGACCCACGUGCCGAACAGGUACACAACGCCUGCCUUUGGAUCAUAGAUCGAUGGUCCGAAAUCCAUCGUGAACUACUGUAUUACUAGCCAUCCGAUAUAAAUCCCACGGUGACUGCCCCGCCUUCGACCUCACCACCAACAGCACGCAAACAAAACUCGCACUCCUUCUCUAUCGUCUGCUAAACCUAGAGCGACGGCUGACUCAGCGGCAUCCUGCCCGGCUACGGUACCGCGCCAGCGCUCCAGGCCAUUAGCCUAUGCUCGAAAAGCAGAGGAAGAUAUCCCGCCAGAGGAGAUGCUCACCGCUGAUGAAGCGAACUGGUUGACGACGAUGCGUAGGCCCACGUCGAGGUGCAGGCACAACGGUCACAGCGAGCUCCGGCACCUGUGGCCACCACCGGUGGAGGGAAGAUCCACGCGCCAGAUGCCUGAUCUCGUGCUGGCGCAUGCGCAAGCAGUCUCCCUCGCAAAUUCCCUAGAAGGCGAGCGAUGCGUGGAACUCAGCUCCUACCCGGGCAUCCUUGCGGCAAUGGUGAGGGGCGGUUAUGGGGAGGAGUAGUUUUAUACCCAGAGCUGGGAUCCGAUCGGCUAGCGCCGAGCUGGCACAUGGGAAAGAUUUGUUCCAAGUUUGUUGCGAUGAAACUGGAAUGGAUAUCUACUGAGGCGGCGCUAGGAUCUCCUCUACGGUCGGCCAUACGGUUGCCAUACCAGAAGGGCCCAACUGCUAGUGAGUACGGGGUUUCACAACUGACCUCAUCCCUGACGCCACGAUGACGUCAGCACGACGGAAAUGAAUAAAGAAUGCGGUGUACGUGGGUGGUUCUGCGUGAGUGAGGUGACCGACGUGACUCUGGCUUAGACUACGGUUAUCGCUAAUUAUCAUUUAAAUAUUCCUAAGGUUUUAGCUUUUGAUUUAAAUUUUCUUUUCUAGUUUGGGUUCACGCCAUUUAAUGCAACAGUCAAAAAGUCUCGGCAUGUGCUACCCAUUUGAUUCAUAGUUUAUGUAAUUACUACUUAUUUUAAUUGAGUACGGAUCUUAUGGUUAUUCGUAGAAUAAAUGUCGAGUCACAUAACAAAUUACCCAACUUAUGAAUCUGCUACGCUCACAAAAUGAAAAUUACUCUUUUGAAUGUAUAGUACAUUUAAAGUUUGGUUCAUAUUUAUCCAAAGAGGGGACUGUGCAGUGUAUAAUUGUUACCAAGGUAUCUUUUUAACUUAAUUCUUUUGGGGAAAUAUUUCUAACCAUAUGAUUCAACAAAGGUGGGUUUUAAUCAUAUAGGAUCGUUUAUUUAAUCUCUUAUUAUAAAAGACUUUAUUCAAACCUGGGAAUACAAAUUCCUAAAUCUCAAUGUAGGAUUUUGGGCUUUACAAAUCCUACCCCCCUUAAAAAUAAUCUCGUCCUCGAGAUUUGUAAGAAAAGAGAUGCAGAAGGAUUGGUUUGUAAUUCAGCUUUUAGUCUAUCGUCAUUCCAAAAGUCGAGAGUCUCAAAAAAAUUCUUUGUGGGUGAUUAGAAGAGCAUAGGUAUAUGUAGGUAUAGCCACGUUAUUAUAUAGGCUAAAAGAGGGGUAGUUUAGAGCAAGAAUAGCCUCAGGUAAGAAAGUUUAUGGUGGGAAAGAACUCCGUGUUGAGUGGUAAGGCAUCUGAAGAUUGAGUUUGACUUCUCUCCUUCCUUGACGAGGUUGAUCUUGUCCUUUUUUUCUUGGUCUCAUUGAUUCGAGGUUAGUGUACAUCAUCAGAGUUACCGGAGUAUGGUUGAAGAUAGAUAUGGGUGAGAUGGACUACAUGAUGUAGGUUAAAGUUUGUUUGAUGUUAGGUGGGGAUAGACAGAUUAUGCAAUUCUUCAUGACUCUAUUGGUUGGGUAAGUUAUGUAACUUGUUAUAUAGGUCAAGUUGUUGUGUAUGGCCAAGUCGAUCUAAGUCACCAAUUUAGGCUUAAGUGAAUUAGGAGUAUGGCCAUAUCCUUUGUACUAGCAUUAAGUAACUUACUCUAGAUUAGAUCAUGAUAGAUUAGAUAGAAUCCAGAUUAGGUUGGUACAACUAGAUUAAACUAGUUAUGAUCUCAUUAUUUUGGAUUAGGUCCUGGUGGUUACUUUAGGAUCAGAUAAAUAUAGUGGUUAGGAUAAAACGAAUCUUUCAUGAUGAGAUGAAUUCAUUAAGAUAAGAGAGAAUCUUUUAAGAUAAGAUGGAUCUACUAAAAUAUGAUAGAUCUUUUUAAGAUGAGAUGGAUAUUGUUAGGCUAGAUACUUUAUUGAGGGAUAAUCUAGUUUGUCUAGUUAGUUUUAUAAGCAUUAUGUAUAUGCAGAUGUAAUUGUGGAUAUUACUCCACAACUCAUCACACUCAAUCAAAGAUCCAAAUCAGACAUGUAUCAUAAGAACAAAACAUUCAAAUUCAUAGAUAUCUAUAAAAAUAGUUUUAUUUUUGUUCCUAAGAGUAGGUCUCCUAUUCCAAAAAUUCACUUUAACCACAGGAUUCCAAAGUGUGAAAUCCAAGUUUGUCUUUAGAAGUGAAAAGGUAAGAAUAAUCAGAGUAAAGCGGAAAUAGAUGAGAAAAGAUUAAGAAAAGUUUAGAAAAGAAUCAGAGUAGCAAAGGUAAGUAGACAAUGGUUGUCCAGUUCUAUCUAGGUUUCGUCCUACAGUCAACAUUCCUCUGAUACCACUUCUGUCACACCCGGGUUUUAGGGCACCAAGACCCGGGCGCGAACAUAAUCACCAGGUGCGCUGGGACCAAGUCUCACACAUAUGAUGAAUCAUGGCACAGGAUCGAAUGUCACAUAUUUACUACAUAACAGGAGUUCUAUACAAAAUAAAUAAAUAAUUACAUUAUAAGGAGACAACGGUCCAGCAACCCAAAGUUGACUGGGAGACGACGACCUAGACCUCUCAUGAACUCGUCACAGCAUCCUCCAUGCGCCUCAUCUUGUGGUACCUGUUCUUGACCUGUGGGGGGGUGUGAGACAGCAAGAGUGAGCUCACAUACGUUCAUCGCUCAACAAGUUGUGGGGAAUAAUGUGCAUGAACUCGCCAAAGGUGGGAGCUCACGUGAAGUGUAAGGCUUACCAAAGAGGAUGGUUAGAGUUGAGCAUUGCUUUUAAAGUUGGUCAAAAUUUUAUUAGCAGUUACUAAGUAUAAGUAAAUACCAACCCAAUUAAGAAAAGUAAUAACAUCACCUGCGAUGCAAUGCAUAUGACAAAUUGAAUUUAGUUCCAUAAAUUAAUCAUGUGAGGGUCCGAGCUGCUCAUGACCGUGAGCACGGCUAGUAUACCAGUUUUACACUCUGCAGAGGUUGCACAUCUUUACCCACAAGUCAUGUUACCCAUCUGCCAAGGGAUCGCGACUUCCCAUACACCUCUACCGAGGAGGCGAGGCAGGGUAACACUACGAGGCCUUUACAAAGUUCCACUAGCUUUAGAAAACCCGCUACAGUUUAUAGGAAGCUCCAAUGCAGGGUUCUUGCCUGACCGCCAUCGCAGCAAAAUCAACCAAGGACCUCCCUACACUGACCACUCCCCUACUGCCCUUGCCCCUUUCGGGUAAGGUAGUCCUCCACUAGCUUUCCUAAUUAAUCAGCCAAGGGCGUCCAUAAACCCUUGUGGUAGCACUGUUUUCCCGGGUGGUCGCUCCAUGUUCCAAUUAACAUAAUGAUCUUAUCAUGGACAGUGAUAAUAAAUAGAUAAUAAAAGUGUGAUCAUGAAUAAUGUAUCUUCAUACCCAAAACAAUAUAAAGCACUAGCAAGUACUACCCAAAAAGUUCAGUGGUAAACAAGGUAUAAAGAUAGACAAACUAGGGUAACCUAUUGGGUCCCAUCAAAAUUAACCUAUGCAGAUCAUUAUGAUUAAUCAGAACAUGGCUGGGUAAAAAGAAGUGAUCAAGGGCACAACUUGCCUGGCACUUGAGAUUCCAGUUACCAGGGUGAUUCUUCAAAUCCUCGUGACCGCACUGCUAGUCGUAGCAAUACAAACAGAUAUGGUAUAGAAAAAAUUAACAUCACACCAAUCAUAAGUACAAACUGAAUAAUAAUGAUCUACGCGAUGAUACGAGAUCGUAGAUUCAAGAACCACUAGAUUCGGAGCUACGGUUAUAAAGUUAUGAUUUUCUAAAUGUUUAGGAGUCGGAUACAAAAGAAAUCAAGUGCAUAAUUUUAAUUUAUGUUUCAUAGCAAAAUAAAGUUACCGGUUAUAAACAAUAUUAUUAUGGAUUUAUUGCAACUGGAAUGCAUUAUGUUGGAGUUAAAAUAUAUUAAUUAUGCAUUUACUAAAAUUUUUUUCUAGAUUUAUUUUCACAUUUAAACCAUUUUCUAGGUUUAUCCUAAAAGAAUAUCACAUUCUUGGGCUGCGGGUAAAACUACAGAGAAGUUCAGGACUAAAUUAAUUAAAUCUAGGACCUAAAUGUAUUAAUCUUUACGCCCUACAUGGACAGCGGGUUAGUUUCGCUAUUUUUCAUGGACUCUUGGAAAACCGGCUUGCUGCUAAAAUCACGAGGAUAUUCCAAGCCGUCCGAUUCACAACCAGCGAUCCGGAUUAGAAGACCCACGUGCCGAACUGGUACACAACGCCUGCCUUUGGAUCAUAGAUCGAUGGUCCGAAAUCCAUCGUGAACUACUGUAUUACUAGCCAUCCGAUAUAAAUCCCACGGUGACUGCCCCGCCUUCGACCUCACCACCAACAGCACGCAAACAAAACUCGCACUCCUUCUCUAUCGUCUGCUAAACCCAGAGCGACGGCUGACCCAGCGGCAUCCUGCCCGGCUACGGUACCGCGCCAGCGCUCCAGGCCAUUAGCCUAUGCUCGAAAAGCAGAGGAAGAUAUCCCGCCAGAGGAGAUGCUCACCGCUGAUGAAGCGAACUGGUUGACGACGAUGCGUAGGCCCACGUCGAGGUGCAGGCACAACGGUCACAGCGAGCUCCGGCACCUGUGGCCACCACCGGUGGAGGGAAGAUCCACGCGCCAGAUGCCUGAUCUCGUGCUGGCGCAUGCGCAAGCAGUCUCCCUCGCAAAUUCCCUAGAAGGCGAGCGAUGCGUGGAACUCAGCUCCUACCCGG
RNAcentral lists this long non-coding RNA (6802 nucleotides) under Zea mays. RNAcentral's name for it is "long non-coding RNA (ZMAY_LNC001656)". Lineage: Eukaryota; Viridiplantae; Streptophyta; Magnoliopsida; Poales; Poaceae. The record is from RNAcentral.